GGCCCGUUGGCAGAAAAGUUAUGCAGCAGAUUGCAAAUCUGUGGAUUCCGGUGCGAGUCCGGAGCGGGCCUCCA
This 74-nucleotide transfer RNA is filed under the name Candidatus Anaerobiospirillum pullicola. RNAcentral describes it as "tRNA-Cys". It matches the Rfam family "tRNA". From Rfam's summary of the family: Transfer RNA (tRNA) molecules are approximately 80 nucleotides in length. Their secondary structure includes four short double-helical elements and three loops (D, anti-codon, and T loops). The record is from RNAcentral. Lineage: Bacteria; Pseudomonadati; Pseudomonadota; Gammaproteobacteria; Aeromonadales; Succinivibrionaceae.